AGGAGGCAAAGCUUUUGCAGUUAGACUUCUAAUCUUCACUGUGGGCAGCUAGCAGCUGUUCGCCUCCUU
RNAcentral lists this transfer RNA (69 nucleotides) under Hiatella sp. J HML-2015. RNAcentral describes it as "tRNA-Ser". Lineage: Eukaryota; Metazoa; Mollusca; Bivalvia; Adapedonta; Hiatellidae. The record is from RNAcentral. RNAcentral also lists the same sequence under 1 other name.